GGGUUGUGAGGUUAAGCGACUAAGCGUACACGGUGGAUGCCCUGGCAGUCAGAGGCGAUGAAGGACGUGCUAAUCUGCGAUAAGCGUCGGUAAGGUGAUAUGAACCGUUAUAACCGGCGAUUUCCGAAUGGGGAAACCCAGUGUGAUUCGUCACACUAUCAUUAACUGAAUCCAUAGGUUAAUGAGGCGAACCGGGGGAACUGAAACAUCUAAGUACCCCGAGGAAAAGAAAUCAACCGAGAUUCCCCCAGUAGCGGCGAGCGAACGGGGAGGAGCCCAGAGCCUGAAUCAGUGUGUGUGUUAGUGGAAGCGUCUGGAAAGGCGCGCGAUACAGGGUGACAGCCCCGUACACAAAAAUGCACAUACUGUGAGCUCGAUGAGUAGGGCGGGACACGUGGUAUCCUGUCUGAAUAUGGGGGGACCAUCCUCCAAGGCUAAAUACUCCUGACUGACCGAUAGUGAACCAGUACCGUGAGGGAAAGGCGAAAAGAACCCCGGCGAGGGGAGUGAAAAAGAACCUGAAACCGUGUACGUACAAGCAGUGGGAGCCUCUUUAUGGGGUGACUGCGUACCUUUUGUAUAAUGGGUCAGCGACUUAUAUUCUGUAGCAAGGUUAACCGAAUAGGGGAGCCGAAGGGAAACCGAGUCUUAACUGGGCGUUAAGUUGCAGGGUAUAGACCCGAAACCCGGUGAUCUAGCCAUGGGCAGGUUGAAGGUUGGGUAACACUAACUGGAGGACCGAACCGACUAAUGUUGAAAAAUUAGCGGAUGACUUGUGGCUGGGGGUGAAAGGCCAAUCAAACCGGGAGAUAGCUGGUUCUCCCCGAAAGCUAUUUAGGUAGCGCCUCGUGAAUUCAUCUCCGGGGGUAGAGCACUGUUUCGGCAAGGGGGUCAUCCCGACUUACCAACCCGAUGCAAACUGCGAAUACCGGAGAAUGUUAUCACGGGAGACACACGGCGGGUGCUAACGUCCGUCGUGAAGAGGGAAACAACCCAGACCGCCAGCUAAGGUCCCAAAGUCAUGGUUAAGUGGGAAACGAUGUGGGAAGGCCCAGACAGCCAGGAUGUUGGCUUAGAAGCAGCCAUCAUUUAAAGAAAGCGUAAUAGCUCACUGGUCGAGUCGGCCUGCGCGGAAGAUGUAACGGGGCUAAACCAUGCACCGAAGCUGCGGCAGCGACACUAUGUGUUGUUGGGUAGGGGAGCG
Molecule: ribosomal RNA, 1204 nt
Filed under: Escherichia coli
Lineage: Bacteria; Pseudomonadati; Pseudomonadota; Gammaproteobacteria; Enterobacterales; Enterobacteriaceae
Description: partial 23S ribosomal RNA
Rfam family: Bacterial large subunit ribosomal RNA
Source: RNAcentral